AUGGAUCUUAGCCCAUCGAUUCUGUGUUGGAACGUGAGAGGGUUAAAUAACCCAGAAAAGAGAGAUGCGGUGAGGGCCUUUGUUGCCACGUUGAGAGUGAAUGUAGCUUGCCUCCAAGAGACUAAAAUGGAUGUCAUUGAUCGUUACACCGUGUUGCAAUGCCUUGGGCCGUCCUUCAACGGUUUUGCUUUCUUGCAAGCCGCGGAGACCAGAGGAUGA
RNAcentral lists this ribosomal RNA (219 nucleotides) under Triticum aestivum (bread wheat). Its description in RNAcentral is "partial small subunit ribosomal RNA". The record is from RNAcentral. Lineage: Eukaryota; Viridiplantae; Streptophyta; Magnoliopsida; Poales; Poaceae.